Long non-coding RNA from Zea mays, 1814 nucleotides. RefSeq lists it as uncharacterized. The record is from RefSeq and is a predicted model, not a curated record. Lineage: Eukaryota; Viridiplantae; Streptophyta; Magnoliopsida; Poales; Poaceae. The transcript is spliced from 5 exons.
ACGACUUAUGGUCGGUCGCUAUAGAGGUAAGUGUGUGACUGAUGGUGGGUCGCUAUAGAGGUACGUGAUUUUUGUGUUUCUUAUUUACUCACCAAAGCCCAUCUAAAGGCCUGCUAAACAAACAAAUGAAACCCUAUUCCACGCGCGCAGCCGUCGUCACUUCUCCCAUGGCCACCCCUCCCAAAGCCAUGGCGGGUGCCACCGCCACUGCCCACUACUCACUCAGCCGUCCGCCCAACCCUAUCUCUUGCACACACCUCAUCUUCUCCAUCCCCUCCCCGUCUUCCUCUAGCGCCAGCCACCAGGGAGGUUCGAGCUCGCCCCCUCCGUGCCCUCCCUGCUCGCUGCCCUCCAGCUCGCCAGUCGUGCUCAGCUCUGCUCCAUCUUCCUGCGCCGCCCAAGUCCAGUCAGGAACUUCCUAGCGCCUCCCUCUCUGUUCCUGCGCUCGGUGCCCAUCCCUGUGGUGCUCAGCGUUUCUCCCUCUCUGGUAGCCGCAGCCCUAGCUCGUCCAUGGCGUUUGGGCCAAAGUUCCUUAUCCCCUUCACGCUGGCCGUCCUUGUUCAGCCAUGGUCACAUGGUGGUGGAACACCUAGGUCCGUCCACGGUCGCUCCCUUCGUCGUUGGUGCUCGACGACCUCUGCUGCUUCUCCUCUGGUGUCCUUCCGGUGUGAGUGCCCUCACCCUAGCGGGCAGCAGCAGUAACCAUGGAACAUUGGAAACCCCUCUGGGUCACGCCCUCAACAUGCUCGAUGAUAUGCUACAACGAGCUCCACCUCGAUCUAUGCCGUCCUGGCAUCGUCGCGCAGCGAGCUCCGCCAUCGAUCUGCGCAACCGCUGUUCGGUUGUUGUUCCGCCUCCGUCGACCUCCUCCAUGCACGAGCAGCAGCAGCCCCGUGAUCUCCGCGUCGCGUGCACCGAUCCGAUCCGCGUAGCCCCAACGUGUCGACGUCGUCGGCUCCAUGAUUUUUGGGCAGCCCGGUUGCGGUGUCGUGAAACCCAGGCGAGGCAUCCUUUUCUUUAUAUAUUCAAUUUAGUUUUCGCUUGGCAUCGAUGGUUAGCUGUUGAUUAUAUUUAUAUGAAUAUGUGUGUUUUGUGAGGAGAGGAAUUUCAUGUGUGUGAAGAGAAGCAAGGCACGUGGCGCUUGCAAGGUGUCAAAUAGAAAGACCGAACCCAAACCACAGCUCGGCCUCCAUAGCUCGGCUUCCACUCACAUCAAAUUCCACGGCUUCCACGCCUAGUGAAGAUGAGGAAGACAGGAGUAACAUUCCUACAGUUACUAUUCAGAUAUUGAUCGAACCAUGAAGAAGUUAACUAUUCAGAUAUUCAGAUCUUUCUUCUGGUUCUUGAUCUGGAAAAGGUUUGGUGUGUAAAUGAUAAAGACAAGGUUCAACUCUCACCCUCUGACCAAUCCAAAUUUUACACUGGCGAUUGCUACAUAUUUCAGUAUACUUAUCCUAGAGAUGAUAAGAAGGAAUGUCUUAUUGGAACCUGGUUUGGGAAAAAGAGUAUUGAGGAGGAUAGGCUAAUAGCAGUUUCACUUGCAAGCAAGAUGGUUGAAUCUGCUAAGUUUCAGGCUGUCCAGGCGCGCUUUUAUGAGGGGAAAGAACCGAUUCAGUUCUUUGUGAUUAUCAAUCAGUGCGGGAGUGAUGUCGUUGUGGUGCUUUUGAACCUAUUAUUAGAAUGCAUCAGUCAAACUCGCCUUCAGUCUAGUGGCGUUGUACUCCCAUUUCAACAAACUGUAAAUGAUCUAGUUGUGAAUGAUAUUAUAAUUGUGAUGCUUUUGUGAAUAUAUAAUUGUGGUGCUUUUGUGUUUA